RNAcentral lists this ribosomal RNA (216 nucleotides) under Glomeromycotina sp. Its description in RNAcentral is "partial small subunit ribosomal RNA". The stretch from base 87 to 216 matches the Rfam family "Eukaryotic small subunit ribosomal RNA", at positions 733 to 864 of the family's 1831-position model. Lineage: Eukaryota; Fungi; Glomeromycota. The record is from RNAcentral.
GGGUCAGUAGGUUGGUCGUGCCACCGGUACGUACUGGUCUCACUGAUUCCUCCUUCCUGAAGAACCGUAAUGCCAUUAAUUGGGUGUUGCGGGGAAACAGGACUGUUACUUUGAAAAACUUAGAGUGUUUAAAGCAAGCUAACGCUUGAAUACAUUAGCAUGGAAUAAUGAAAUAGGACGAUCGAUCCUAUUUUGUUGGUUUCUAGGAUUGACGUA